UAGAAUUCUUCACUCCUUCUCUCAAAGAAUCACAGGAGUGUUGGCAUGGCCAUGGCCAAGGUCUUCAGUGUGUAGCGAUCAAUCCCAUGCCUUCAGUGAAAAGAUGUGUGUGUAAUUCUCUCACCUUCAGAACUGAUCACUUUGCCUUGCCACAUAUAGAGCUGAAGCUUCUAUGAGACUGCCAGUAGGUAGUUGGCUAUCGCUGUGGCUACAGGUUUAGUGGAUUGUUGACUUCAGGUCUGAAGCUCCUUUGACUAAGUGCCCUUGAACAUUAUUUGAGACCCUGCCACAGCCCAGCCCUCUUCGUCUGUUCUUCCACAGGUGCAAAGAGGAAGCCCGCCGGGCAUGCCGAGCAGGGAAGAAGCAGCUGGCACUGAGGUCUCUCAAGG
Molecule: long non-coding RNA, 389 nt
Filed under: Rattus norvegicus (Norway rat)
Lineage: Eukaryota; Metazoa; Chordata; Mammalia; Rodentia; Muridae
Description: long non-coding RNA NONRATT011039
Source: RNAcentral